This is a transfer RNA of 72 nucleotides. It matches the Rfam family "tRNA". From Rfam's summary of the family: Transfer RNA (tRNA) molecules are approximately 80 nucleotides in length. Their secondary structure includes four short double-helical elements and three loops (D, anti-codon, and T loops). The record is from Rfam.
GCUGGAGUAGAGUAGUAGUUAACUCGUCGCCCUUCCAAGGCGAAGACUCGGGUGCAAAUCCCGGCUCCAGCA